RNAcentral lists this ribosomal RNA (501 nucleotides) under uncultured bacterium. RNAcentral's name for it is "partial 16S ribosomal RNA". It matches the Rfam family "Bacterial small subunit ribosomal RNA", at positions 29 to 523 of the family's 1533-position model. The record is from RNAcentral.
AUUGAACGCUGGCGGCAUGCCUUACACAUGCAAGUCGAACGGCAGCACGGGUGCUUGCACCUGGUGGCGAGUGGCGAACGGGUGAGUAAUACAUCGGAACGUACCUUAUCGUGGGGGAUAACGCAGCGAAAGCUGUGCUAAUACCGCAUACGCCCCGAGGGGGAAAGCGGGGGAGCGAAAGACCUCGCGCGAUUAGGGCGGCCGAUGCCUGAUUAGCUUGUUGGUGGGGGAAAAGCCCACCAAGGCGACGAUCAGUAGCUGGUGUGAGAGGACGAUCAGCCACACUGGGACUGAGACACGGCCCAGACUCCUACGGGAGGCAGCAGUGGGGAAUUUUGGACAAUGGGGGCAACCCUGAUCCAGCAAUGCCGCGUGAGUGAAGAAGGCCUUCGGGUUGUAAAGCUCUUUUGUCAGGGAAGAAACACCGGCUCUAACACAGUCCGGGAAUGACGGUACCUGAAGAAUAAGCACCGGCUAACUACGUGCCAGCCGCCGCCGUAA